GAAAUGCGAUAAUUAAUGUGAAUUGCAGAAUUCAGUGAAUCAUCGAGUCUUUGAACGCACAUUGCGCCCCCUAGUAUUCCGGGGGGCAUGCCUGUCCGAGCGUCAUUGCUGCCCUCAAGCACGGCUUGUGUGUUGGGCUUCCGUCCCUGGCAACGGGGACGGGCCCAAAAGGCAGUGGCGGCACCAUGUCUGGUCCUCGAGCGUAUGGGGCUUUGUCACCCGCUCCCGUAGGUCCAGCUGGCAGCUAGCCUCGCAACCAAUCUUUUUAACCAGGUUGACCUCGGAUCAGGUAGGGAUACCCGCUGAACUUAAGC
This 314-nucleotide unclassified non-coding RNA is filed under the name plant metagenome. RNAcentral describes it as "partial contains 5.8S ribosomal RNA, internal transcribed spacer 2, and large subunit ribosomal RNA". The stretch from base 1 to 105 matches the Rfam family "5.8S ribosomal RNA", at positions 50 to 154 of the family's 154-position model. The record is from RNAcentral.